Molecule: long non-coding RNA, 2899 nt
Organism: Haemorhous mexicanus (house finch)
Lineage: Eukaryota; Metazoa; Chordata; Aves; Passeriformes; Fringillidae
Exons: 2
Source: RefSeq, a predicted model, not a curated record
UCGUGCUCAUGGGUUAUAAAAGCCCUUUUAUAAAGCCAUUUUUAAACAAAACCAAAAAGUUUACAAAAGAAAAUAAAAGAUACAGAAGAAUGAGUUGCUUAAUAUAUUCCAAAAAGGAGAGAAAGAAACGAGGGGACACAAUUCCAACAUGCUGAACAAGGAAGGGUUGGUUUUUCCUCGUGGUUCUUUGUUUUAAUACAAAAUACAAGCGAAGGAUACACAUACUUCAAACAGAGCUCAGGAGCAGGUUUGCAGUCCCAGGAACCCUUUUUCAAUCAAAGCAAAGCAGGGGGGUUGUUAUUUCAUUUUUAUUUUUUUUUUUUUUUGUGUUUUUUUUUCUUUCUUUGCAGGUACAUACAGAGACUGGGAAUAUGUCAAAUUAAUCAGCACAAAAAGACCAUCACACGAUUCUACCAAUGAAUGUUUGCAGCUAGAAAUUCACCAACAUGGGCAACAGUCGUGCUCACUUCAACCCCUGAAAAAAACCUAAAACCCAAAGAAAAGGUGGGUUUGUUGUGUUUUUAGUUUUAAAUCAAGCAUGAAUGUUACAGUCAGGUUGAACUCCUAGUACCAUGCUGGGUCUCAGUGUUGUCCAGAGCUCCCAACCCCGCUGGCUGUUUGCAGCUGCCCCUUUUUCCUGCUUGGAAAAUUAACAAAAAAUUAAGAAUAAAAAUUCAAAAAGGACAGGGAGGGGAACUGCAAAGAGCCUGAUUUUUUUUUUUUAAUAAUUUUGUUUUUAUUUUUUUUCUCAAAAGCUGACCAGGGGAUUGCAGAUACUCAAGACAAAAUAUUCCUUGCACACCAGAAAAUGCUGCCAGUCUCCUCCUCCACCUUCACAGGGUUUGCUGUGACACCAUGGCCAACAACAACAACAACAAAAAUUAGCUCUUAUUUACAAUUCUCUCUUUUUUUUUUUUUUUUGUAACAAUUGCUUCUGCAGGAAAGGGGAAAAAAAAAAAAAAAAGCAGAAAAAAGAAAAUAAAACCUCACAAGUGCUGAGAACACAAAGGGGAUGGGAUGGCAGACACUCCCGCUCGCACUCACACACCGAAGAUUUGGGGUUUGUUUUUGUUUUUACACACAUUUAAGUCUGGCUUAAGCUGCUUUUAGGAUCUCCACCCUCCCUCCUCCCUCCCCCCAUCCCAAAAUAUAUAUAUAAAAAACCCUGGCCCCACUGUACAGAGCGUUUGCAGUCACACGGAGCAUGCUGGGGCCAGCACCCCUGGCAGGGCUGGGCUGGGCUGGGCUGGGCUGCACCCCAAAUCCAGGAGCUCCAUCCAAAACCAUCCAAAUCCCAGAGCUCCAUCCCAAUCCAAGAGCUCCAUCCAAAUCAGAGAGCUCCAUCCAAAAUCAUCCAAAUCCCAGAGCUCCAUCCAAAUCCAUCCAGCUCCUCAGCUGGGAAGGGUGGGAUGUCAUUCCCAGCCAGGCUGGGCUCGGGGCUGGCUCUCCCUGCUCUGCUGGGCUCCAAAGAGCCCAAAAUUCCUCCUUGCACAGGCAGAACAAAAUGUCAGCACUGCUUCUGUUCCAGCAGCACCCCAAAAGUGCAGGGGGAUCCCCCCAGCUCUGCUCGGGUCAGACAAACACAGAAUUGGUCAUUUCUGGGAGACAGAGGUGACAGCAAGCCCUCCCCAAGCCACACAGCCAAGGACUCUGCCAUCCCUCCCCGCCUGCUCCAACCCCUCCCCUCCCAGAAAUGAAAGAAUUCUCCAAAUGUCAGCACUGCUUCUGUUCCAGCAGCACCCCAAAAGUGCAGGGGGAUCCCCCCAGCUCUGCUUGGGUCAGACAAACACAGAAUUGGUCAUUUCUGGGGGACAGAGGUGACAGCAAGCCCUCCCAAGCUCACACAGCCAAGGACUCUGCCAUCCCUCCCCGCCUGCUCCAACUCCUCCCCUCUGAGAUGAAAGAAUUCUCCAGCAAAUUCCCAAACUCCUGGGUCACCUUGGGGCUUUUAGGAACCGUGUGUUCAACGCUAGGAUCCGUUAGAAAAAUAAACACUUCACAAACAAAAGGACAGAAAAGCAAAGCACCAGGUUGGGGUUUUUUGUUUUUGUUUUUUUCCUACAGCUCCAGAAGCUUCCAGCAUGGGACAGAUUCCUUCCCUCCCUCACCUCAGUGGCUCUUGGAUCUUUGGGGGGCAUCAGUGGAGGGAAUUAAAAAAAAAAAAAAGGAAAUAAAAGGAAAAAAACCUCCCAGGAAUUUCAGAUUUUUGCACUGUGCCUCUCUCCCCUCACUCUCUCUGCCCUGAAAAAUUUAAAAUUGAUUAAAGCUCCUCUGCUGCCCCAUCUUUAAGCCCUUCCUGACCCCCUAAGCUCAGCUCAGCUGUCAUUGCUCCCCCAAACCACCCUCAGCACAAACCCCCAGCUGAAAUUCAGAUUUCCCUGAUUUUGACCCAUUCAGAGCUGGAGGUGCUGUGAGGAUUCAGGGCCAGGAUGGGAACUCUGGAAUUUUAAAAUCAACACCAAGCAGGGCUGGAGACUGAGGGAAUUUGGGAAUAAAUCCAUUUUACAGCUGUGGGACACAGAAUCUUUUCAAAGGCUCCUCCUCCUCCUGUGAGUGAAACUUUCUGCUCCAUAAAAAUCUCUUGGUGCUAAAGAAAAGCAUUUUCCCCCAAUUUUCCUUCCAGAAUGUUUAAUACAAAUUAAUUCCAAUUAAAUUGGUGAUUAAAAGGUGAAGCCUGCUGUAAAAUGAUGUAUGUUAAAAUAAAAAUACUCAAAAUAAUAGAAAUUAUUUUGAAAAUAUUCAAAAUAAUAGAAAUAAUUUGAAAUAAUAUUCAAAAGUGCUGGAGACUGAGGGAAUUUGGGAAUAAAUCCAUUUUACAGCUGUGGACACACAAUCUUUUCAAAGGCUCCUCCUCCUCCUGUGAGUGAAACUUUCUGCUCCAUAAAAAUCUCUUGGUGCU